UACGUAGGGGGCAAGCGUUGUCCGGAUUUAUUGGGCGUAAAGCGCGUGUAGGCGGCUUUGCAAGUCCGUUGUGAAAACUCGAGGCUCAACCUCGAGACGCCGGUGGAAACUGCAAAGCUAGAGUCCGGAAGAGGAGAGUGGAAUUCCUGGUGUAGCGGUGAAAUGCGCAGAUAUCAGGAAGAACACCAAUGGCGAAAGCAGCUCUCUGGGACGGUACUGACGCCGAGACGCGAAAGCGUGGGGAGCAAACAGG
Molecule: ribosomal RNA, 253 nt
Filed under: uncultured bacterium
Lineage: Bacteria
Description: partial 16S ribosomal RNA
Rfam family: Bacterial small subunit ribosomal RNA
Source: RNAcentral